UGGUCACCCCUCCCCCCCCAAAAAAAACCAAAAAACUGCACAAGGUUUUAAGUGCAUUUUAAGUAUAUUCAGUGCAGCACUGUUGAAAGAACAACCCUCUUUUUCUUUCUUUUGGUAGUCUCUUACCCCUACAAAUUUAGCUUCAUUUGGUAUAAGCAGCAAGCAAAUAACUAGAACAAUAAACAGAAUGAAGGCAUUAGUCCCUGAGUAUUAGUAGCCUAGUUACAGAUUGCACUGCGUCAGACUGCUCCACACCCAGAGCAGGUCAGGUGACUUCAGUCCUGCUGCAGUUGUAUAGCAGAGGAGACUGCAGACUUCGGUUGAGGAAACAAGAUUAUUUCAUGUCUCAGGGUGUAGCUUUUUGCAGUUAUAGCUUUUCUGUUGGUAUGCAUAAUUGAUAAUUACAGCUCCAGGACAGAUCGUGACGAGAUGGAUGGUCAGAAGAAAAAUUGGAAGGACAAGGGCUACCGUCCAGCUUUAAGGUUCUCCAGUUUUAUGAAAAGAUACCUUGGGCCAGAUUGCAGAAGACAUUGGAUUUUGGACUUUUAUCGUAAAGGAAAUAAAAAGCGUUUGGAAGUUUUCAGGUAGAAGGUGAUAAAACAGUAGCAGUGUUUGAAAGAUUCAUUUGUGGGCACUAAGAAAAAUUGGAAGAGAUAGAAUGUAGAGGCAGACCAGUUAGGAUGAUUGUAGUUGUGUCCUCCUGUAAAGCAAAUAGUUCCUUAACUUGGCCUGAAAUAGGAAUGAAAAGGAAGUGGCAGAUUUAAUAAACUCAAGAAAGGAAUUACUUAGCAUUUGGCAUAGAUUUGGUGAAGGGUGAAGGAGGGUCUUAAAGGACAAGAUGAAGUUUCAGGCCAGAGCGAAGCUUUGACAUUGAUAGUACUAUAAUACUGGCAGAAACAGCUG
RNAcentral lists this long non-coding RNA (903 nucleotides) under Dasypus novemcinctus (nine-banded armadillo). Its description in RNAcentral is "lncRNA (ENSDNOG00000052832.1)". The record is from RNAcentral. Lineage: Eukaryota; Metazoa; Chordata; Mammalia; Cingulata; Dasypodidae.